RNAcentral lists this ribosomal RNA (468 nucleotides) under uncultured bacterium. RNAcentral's name for it is "partial 16S ribosomal RNA". It matches the Rfam family "Bacterial small subunit ribosomal RNA", at positions 28 to 507 of the family's 1533-position model. The record is from RNAcentral.
GACGAACGCUGGCGGCGUGCUUAACACAUGCAAGUCGAACGGCAAGGCACUGCUUUUGUGCGGUGCUCGAGUGGCGAACGGGUGAGUAACACGUGAGUAACCUGCUCUUCACUUUGGGAUAACUUAAGGAAACUGGGCCUACUACCGGAUAGGAGCUCCCGUUGCAUGGAAGGGGUUGGAAAGUUUCGGCGGUCGGGGAUGGACUCGCGGCUUAUCGACUAGUUGGUGGGGUAGUGGCUUACCAAGGCAUUGACGGGUAGCCGGCCUGUGAGGGUGACCGGCCACAAUGGUACUGCGGUACGGCCCAGACUCCUAUGGUAGGCAGCAGUGGGGAAUAUUGCACAGUGGGCGGAAGCCUGAUGCGGCGACGCUGCGUGUGGGAUGACGGUCUUCGGGUUGUGAACCGCUUUCGCCUGUGACGCAGCUUUUGUGACGGUAAUGGGUAAAGAAGCACCGGCUAACUACGUG